UAGCAAGUCGACCAAAGGCGAAAGCAGUCAUCAAGGGCAUACCCGUUGAUCAAGAGCGAAAGUUAAGGGUUCGAAGACGAUCAGAUACCGUCGUAGUCUUAACUAUAAAUGAUACUGACUAGGGAUAGGACACCGUCCAUCUCGACUCCUCCUGAACCUUAGAGAAAUCAAAGUCUUUGAGUUCUGGGGGGAGUAUGGUCGCAAGGCUGAAACUUAAAGGAAUUGACGGAAGGGCACACAAAGAGUGGAACCUGCGGCUUAAUUUGACUCAACACGGGAAAACUCACCAGGUCCGGAUACACGUAUGAAAGACAAGCUGAAAGACUUUUCUCAAUGAUGUAAGUGGUGGUGCAUGGUCGUUCUUAGUUCGUGGAGUGGUUUGUCUGGUUUAUUCCGAUAACGAGCGAGACCCCGGCGUUCCUAAUAGGGGUGGCAGCCCGGCUCGCGCUUCGGCGCUUGCUAGCACGCCACCUCGCAAUUGCUUCUUAGACGUAUCAGAGCCGAUAAGGUUCUUGAAAUGGGUUAAUAACAGGUCAGUCAUGCCCUUAGAUGUUCUGGGCCGCACGCGCGUUACAAUGGUAGGCUUAAACAGUGCCUUUUACGGGCGUUUCCGGGGCCGACGGGUCCCGGUAACCCCUAGUCUCUCCCUUGACUGGGCCAGACUAUUGCAAUUAUUGGUCUCAAACGAGGAAUUUUUAGUAAUCGCAGGUCAUUAACCUGCGAUGAAUGCG
Molecule: ribosomal RNA, 731 nt
Filed under: Didymium dubium
Lineage: Eukaryota; Evosea; Eumycetozoa; Physariida; Didymiaceae
Description: SSU rRNA
Rfam family: Eukaryotic small subunit ribosomal RNA
Source: RNAcentral